AUUGAACGCUGGCGGCAGGCCUAACACAUGCAAGUCGAGCGGAUGACGGGAGCUUGCUCCUUGAUUCAGCGGCGGACGGGUGAGUAAUGCCUAGGAAUCUGCCUGGUAGUGGGGGACAACGUUUCGAAAGGAACGCUAAUACCGCAUACGUCCUACGGGAGAAAGCAGGGGACCUUCGGGCCUUGCGCUAUCAGAUGAGCCUAGGUCGGAUUAGCUAGUUGGUGGGGUAAUGGCUCACCAAGGCGACGAUCCGUAACUGGUCUGAGAGGAUGAUCAGUCACACUGGAACUGAGACACGGUCCAGACUCCUACGGGAGGCAGCAGUGGGGAAUAUUGGACAAUGGGCGAAAGCCUGAUCCAGCCAUGCCGCGUGUGUGAAGAAGGUCUUCGGAUUGUAAAGCACUUUAAGUUGGGAGGAUGGGCAGUAAGUUAAUACCUUGCUGUUUUGACGUUACCGACAGAAUAAGCACCGGCUAACUCUGUGCCAGCAGCCGCGGUAAUACAGAGGGUGCAAGCGUUAAUCGGAAUUACUGGGCGUAAAGCGCGCGUAGGUGGUUUGUUAAGUUGGAUGUGAAAGCCCCGGGCUCAACCUGGGAACUGCAUCCAAAACUGGCAAGCUAGAGUACGGUAGAGGGUGGUGGAAUUUCCUGUGUAGCGGUGAAAUGCGUAGAUAUAGGAAGGGACACCAGUGGCGAAGGCGACCACCUGGACUGAUACUGACACUGAGGUGCGAAAGCGUGGGGAGCAAA
RNAcentral lists this ribosomal RNA (749 nucleotides) under uncultured bacterium. RNAcentral describes it as "bacterial SSU rRNA". It matches the Rfam family "Bacterial small subunit ribosomal RNA", at positions 28 to 772 of the family's 1533-position model. The record is from RNAcentral.